RNAcentral lists this long non-coding RNA (218 nucleotides) under Mytilus galloprovincialis (Mediterranean mussel). The record is from RNAcentral. Lineage: Eukaryota; Metazoa; Mollusca; Bivalvia; Mytilida; Mytilidae.
UCCGGCUUUACCAAGUGUGUAGAAUCUAGACGCUACCGUGUUUUUACCUCCAAAUUGAAGAGUUCAAGUGCUACCAUUGGUCAAGAAUAAUGUAUUCGGAAUUGGCGUGAUUUUUAUCUUCCGAUAGAUGACGCAACAUUGUUAUCACAAAUGUUGGCUCAAUCCGCCAAGGGUGAAGAGAGCGGGAGUGGAUCGUAACCCUUGGCUAGCGAAGAUGA